This is a non-coding RNA of Picea glauca (white spruce), 123 nucleotides long. The record is from Rfam. NCBI's taxonomy places the organism in Eukaryota, Viridiplantae, Streptophyta, Pinopsida, Pinales, Pinaceae.
CGUGUAACGAUUUCCUAGUGGUCUUAUGUACUUGAUCCCAUUAGAACUUUGCAGUUAGGUGUGCCUUGGAUAGAGUAGUACUGGGAUGGGUGACCUCUCGGGAAGUCCUAGUGUUUUACAUGC